RNAcentral lists this long non-coding RNA (729 nucleotides) under Marmota monax (woodchuck). The record is from RNAcentral. Lineage: Eukaryota; Metazoa; Chordata; Mammalia; Rodentia; Sciuridae.
CAGCUACCCAGGUGCCCAGUCUACACCUGAACACCACGUGGUGAUGACAUCACUUCAACUGUCCUUGUGAAGCCUCUAUAAUUUAUCUGAUUCAUGAUCAGUUACCAAUAUGUGCUCAAUGUAAUCUUGCAGGAUUUGUUGUUCUGACCUGGCUUCUGUGAAUUUACCUCUGAAUGAAAUAAUAUUCUAGCAAGCUCCAUCUGGUUAGAUAUAAUGGAUCAUCAGAUGAAUUUCAGGUGUCACUUCCUGUCGUGACCCCCUCGCCAGCAAGGAAGACACGACACAGGAUUCUUCUUUCAGCGGUUUAUUCAGGCCUUAACUCUAGUCUUCUCUCAAGCGCUCUCUUUCCACGCCCCCACACACAGCCUAAUAAAGCUUACUCAAGUCCAAUCCAAAGCUGCCACGUGGGGUUUUCUCAUAGGGUGUUGAGGGACAGCGCGCCAACUUUUCCUAAUAAGGAGUUGUUUACCAAGAUCCACAACGGAGACCGGCGCCAUCUUCUAAUGGCGGCAACGGUCUACAAACACGGCCACAACUUCCUCCGGGGGUCCUUCCUGGAUCCACAGUGGGGAGCCCUCUCUCCUCCACCUGUGUGUCCCCACAUGUCACUGUAGCCCUUACUGCCUACUUCUGUGGGCAGUUGUGUAGCUUUGUUUCUUCCUUUAGUUUUUAGAACAUUGAGAGCAAAGCACGUGCUUUUGAAAUAUCUGUAGCCCUGGUGAACUGUCU